This 253-nucleotide ribosomal RNA is filed under the name uncultured archaeon. Its description in RNAcentral is "partial 16S ribosomal RNA". It matches the Rfam family "Archaeal small subunit ribosomal RNA", at positions 474 to 727 of the family's 1478-position model. The record is from RNAcentral.
UACCAGCACCCCGAGUGGUUGGGACGAUUAUUGGGCCUAAAGCAUCCGUAGCCGGCCUUACAAGUCCUCCGUUAAAUCCAGCUGCUUAACAGAUGGGCUGCGGAGGAUACUAUAAGACCAGGAGGCAGGAGAGGCAAGCGGUACUCAAUGGGUAGGGGUAAAAUCCGUUGAUCCAUUGAAGACCACCAGUGGCAAAGGCGGCUUGCCAGAAUGCGCUCGACGGUGAGGGAUGAAAGCUGGGGGAGCAAACCGG